This 468-nucleotide ribosomal RNA is filed under the name uncultured bacterium. RNAcentral's name for it is "partial 16S ribosomal RNA". It matches the Rfam family "Bacterial small subunit ribosomal RNA", at positions 28 to 507 of the family's 1533-position model. The record is from RNAcentral.
GACGAACGCUGGCGGCGUGCCUAACACAUGCAAGUCGAACGGAAAGGCCCUGCUUUUGUGGGUUUCACGAGUGGCGAACGGGGGAGUAUCACGUGUGUAUCCUGCCCUUGACUUUGGGGUAACUUCAGGAAACUGGGGCUAAUACAGGAUAUGAGCUCCUGCUGCGUGGUGGUGGUUGGAAAGAUUCGGCGGUGGGGGAUGGGCUCGCGGGUUAUCAGCUUGUUGGUGGGGUAGUGGCUUACCAAGGCUUUGACGGGUAGCCGGCCUGAGAGGGUGAACGGGCACAAGGGGACUGAGGUACGGACCAGACUGCAACGGGCGGCAGUGGGGGAGAAUAUUGCACAACGGGGGGAAGUCUGAUGCAGAAGCGCCGCGUGCGGGAUGACGGCCUUCGGGGUGUAAACCGAUUUGGCCUGAGACGAAGCGUGAGUGACGGUAAUGGGUAAAGAAGCACCGGCUAACUACGUG